AUACGUAGGUGGCAAGCGUUGUCCGGAAUUAUUGGGCGUAAAGCGCGCGCAGGCGGUCCUUUAAGUCUGAUGUGAAAGCCCACGGCUCAACCGUGGAGGGUCAUUGGAAACUGGGGGACUUGAGUGCAGAAGAGGAAAGUGGAGUUCCAAGUGUAGCGGUGAAAUGCGUAGAGAUUUGGAGGAACACCAGUGGCGAAGGCGACUUUCUGGUCUGUAACUGACGCUGAGGCGCGAAAGCGUGGGGAGCAAACAGGAUUAGAUACCCUGGUAGUCCACGCCGUAAACGAUGAGUGCUAAGUGUUAGGGGGUUUCCGCCCCUUAGUGCUGCAGCUAACGCAUUAAGCACUCCGCCUGGGGAGUACGGUCGCAAGACUGAAACUCAAAGGAAUUGACGGGG
This 397-nucleotide ribosomal RNA is filed under the name uncultured bacterium. Its description in RNAcentral is "partial 16S ribosomal RNA". It matches the Rfam family "Bacterial small subunit ribosomal RNA", at positions 523 to 918 of the family's 1533-position model. The record is from RNAcentral.